Molecule: unclassified non-coding RNA, 307 nt
Filed under: fungal sp.
Lineage: Eukaryota; Fungi
Also listed under: 1 other name
Description: partial internal transcribed spacer region
Rfam family: Eukaryotic small subunit ribosomal RNA (bases 1-46)
Source: RNAcentral
AAGUCGUAACAAGGUAACCGUAGGUGAACCUGCGGUUGGAUCAUUAACAAAAUCCAAACAAAAAAGAGGACUUAGGAUGCGGACUUUCGGGUCUGUUUACUAUUUCCUUUUUUUUUCAACCCAUUGUGAACUGUAAUUGUCUCUGGUGUGGUUAAGAGUCUUCUUAAAUGAAGAUAGUGAGUAAAAUCACUACCCACCGUUAUUUUAAACUUUUGAUAUUUUUAAUUGGACUUUAUAACCUAUGAAAGCUUGUCUUUUUGUAUUUUAAAAUAAAAAACAACUUUUGGCAACGGAUCUCUAGGCUCUU